CUAGUUGGCGAGGUAAUGGCUCACCAAGGCAUAGACGGGUAGCUGGUCUGAGAGGAUGAUCAGCCACACUGGGACUGCGACACGGCCCAGACUCCUACGGGAGGCAGCAGUGGGGAAUAUUGCACAAUGGGCGAAAGCCUGAUGCAGCGACGCCGCGUGAGGGAUGACGGCCUUCGGGUUGUAAACCUCUUUCAGCUCCGACGAAGCGAAAGUGACGGUAGGGGCAGAAGAAGCACCGGCCAACUACGUGCCAGCAGCCGCGGUAAUACGUAGGGUGCAAGCGUUGUCCGGAAUUAUUGGGCGUAAAGAGCUCGUAGGCGGCUUGUCGCGUCGGCUGUGAAAACCUGGGGCUCAACUCCGGGCCUGCAGCCGAUACGGGCAAGCUAGAAUUCGGUAGGGGAGACUGGAAUUCCUGGUGUAGCGGUGAAAUGCGCAGAUAUCAGGAGGAACACCGGUGGCGAAGGCGGGUCUCUGGGCCGAAAUUGACGCUGAGGAGCGAAAGCGUGGGGAGCAAACAGGAUUAGAUACCCUGGUAGUCCACGCCGUAAACGUUGGGCGCUAGGUGUGGGCCACAUUCCACGUGGUCCGUGCCGCAGCUAACGCAUUAAGCGCCCCGCCUGGGGAGUACGGCCGCAAGGCUAAAACUCAAAGGAAUUGACG
Molecule: ribosomal RNA, 660 nt
Filed under: uncultured Actinomycetes bacterium
Lineage: Bacteria; Bacillati; Actinomycetota; Actinomycetes
Description: SSU rRNA
Rfam family: Bacterial small subunit ribosomal RNA
Source: RNAcentral